RNAcentral lists this ribosomal RNA (433 nucleotides) under uncultured bacterium. RNAcentral's name for it is "partial 16S ribosomal RNA". It matches the Rfam family "Bacterial small subunit ribosomal RNA", at positions 29 to 507 of the family's 1533-position model. The record is from RNAcentral.
AACGAACGCUGGCGGCAUGCCUAACACAUGCAAGUCGAACGAGACCUUCGGGUCUAGUGGCGCACGGGUGCGUAACGCGUGGGAACCUGCCCUUAGGUUCGGAAUAACUCCCCGAAAGGGGUGCUAAUACCGGAUAAUGUCUUCGGACCAAAGAUUUAUCGCCUUUGGAUGGGCCCGCGUUGGAUUAGCUAGUUGGUAGGGUAAAAGCCUACCAAGGCGACGAUCCAUAGCUGGUCUGAGAGGAUGAUCAGCCACACUGGGACUGAGACACGGCCCAGACUCCUACGGGAGGCAGCAGUGGGGAAUAUUGGACAAUGGGCGAAAGCCUGAUCCAGCAAUGCCGCGUGAGUGAUGAAGGCCUUAGGAUUGUAAAGCUCUUUUACCCGGGAUGAUAAUGACAGUACCGGGAGAAUAAGCACCGGCUAACUCCGUG